GAUUGUUUUUAUAUUUAUUGAUUUUAGUGUAGUGAGUUUUUGUUCUUUUUAUGUAGUUAAUUUUGCGGAAUUUAUUGAAGAUGCUAUCAAAAUACACUAAUGGAACAUUUACACGGUAUCAGGUUAUAUCAAAAUCUAAUUUUAGAGUUUGUUCAAAAUUUAGAAUCGAGCUAUUGUUUUUUUUUUGGUAUUUUAUCGUCAAUAUCAAUUUUUCUAUCACAAUCAUCUAGCCACUGCAUGCGUAAGUAAAUUAGUGAGAUUUUCUCGUCUCAAUUUUUUAAUGUUGCAUGAUUUUUUACUCUGUGUUUUUGUCAGGCUUAGCUUGUCUCGCCUGCUAACUAAAAUUCAAAUGAUUCCUACAAAGCAAUUCGAAAGUUAACUUUAAAUUCAGAUACAGAUGAUAAAUUUUUUAUGACGAAUUAUUUUAAUCUGUAGUCUAACAAUGAUACCGGCGUUACACAGCAACUAACCGACUAAUUCAAAAUGGCGUCGAGUUUAUUUGAACUGUGUGUAAAACGUUUUAAUGGGGUUACAGCGUCGAGGUAUCUGCUCGCUGGCUUUUGACAAUGGCCGCAAUCGCACCAGACCACAAUAAGACACGACAGGCAUCGACUAUCUCCGUAUCUCCAACAAAUAUACCGUCCUUAAGUUCUUAAGCUGCGAUGUUGCGAGGGGCGCCAACAACACUCAAAGCCAUGCAUAUGCAUACUUUAAUAUUAUAUUUUUUAUUUUAAGUACUACUUAGAUUAGUUACUCGAAUCUUUGUACCUUAGAUGUUAAUUAUAUUCGAACUUUGGUUAAAUCUACAUCCGUUUUGUACAGUUAACAUACAAUUUAUAUUUUCUUUAUGAGCGAACUAAAAAUUUUAAUUUAUUUGACAGAUUUUAAUAUUUAUAUAGUUUUUUUUUUUUUCAAAUAUUGCGAAUUUUAUUUUACCGUUGCCUCGUGUUAAGUGAUGGCAGUUUGUUUCGUUGUUUCUAGUUAAUUAUUUUAGAUUAAUCGUAAACUGCCAAUAGAAACGUUUUUUCAAGUUACCGAUAUAUCAUAUACAAAGACGUAGAUUGUUUAUUUUUUAUUUAUUAUAUUUUAUUUUCUUAUACAAAGUAUUUAAAACAAUCCUUUUUCGUGAUAACCCUUGCUUGUAACACAACUAAUCUAUUAAUAAUUUUAAUGUAAAUCCGAAUGUUUGUUUUGGACUUUUUAAAGUUUUUUUAGAUUUCACAACAUCGGAAUCAUCACCUUGCAUGAUAUCAUCCUUUUAGAUUUUCUUUUAAAUUUAAUGUGAAUAACAAUUCGAGUUUUUCUUAUUAACUAUCAAAAUCUCUGAAUGAAGAAUUAUUUUUAAAUAAAGAGAAUUCAGCGAUUACAAGCAAAAGGGACCAAGUAAAAAUUGAUUAAAGAACCACACGAAUAUAAUAUUUUAACUUUUAAAUAACAACACUGACAUCUUUAAUAUUACUAUAUAAAAUAAUACGAACAAUUCUAGAACAAUCUAGGCAGUUUUAUACGCGAUAAUUAUUAAUUUAACGUUUAAUCAAACUGCAAUUUAUGAAAUGUUAUUUUAUAUUAUUACUCGUAAUUUAUUUAGUAAUUUUAUAUUUAUCGACAUACCAUAGGCUUAAGUAUUAUUAUUAUCUUUGAAAGAUUUAUUAGUUAGUUUAGAAAAGAGUGAGCUUUAUCAAAAUACAGCCUUUUUAUACUUAAGUAUAUCGAUGCGAGGAUUGCUGCUAAGUCAGAAAAAAUGAAAUUAAAACCAGCCAUUACCUGUACCUUGUUGGGAUUUAGAAUGCCCGAAAAUUUUUCAGUAAUUAUUCUUUCAUAAUUUUAUUUCCAAAGCAUUAAAUUAACUAUAAGUUAUAGGUUUAGACGUUAUAGUAGACAUUAGUGAAACUGCCAAAUUAAAAAAAAUAGACGCGUCAAAAAAGCUGACUUAGAAAAAAAUGAAAGAAAAUAUUUGGCAGUAAUAUAUUCGAAUAAAUAUAGAUAAGAUAUUAAAAUUUAAGAGAUUAGUAUAUGCCAUUCUUAUAAAUUUAAUGAGAUUACAUUUCUUUCCAGCAUUUAUGGAAUAAGGUUGGUCACCCAGAGAAAACUAUAUUUUAUCAUCUAAAAAUCAACUGCAUAUGUCUAAUGUGUUAAAAGAAAAAUGUAUUCGUGGGUGUACCAUUGCAGUUUGUUCUCGAAUGUUCUCGAAUGUUGUGGAAUGUUCGAGAGAUGUGUAGAAUGUUGAGUAGAGGCUGUAAUGUGGUGUGCCGCUAGGUGUGGUGCGACGCGGGCGGCUCGCGCAAGUGCGGGAGCACCCGUACCAGCGCACCGCACUUCCCGCGCCCUAAUUCCCGCCAAAACGCUCUCCAUCCGCCAUUUUAUUGACAAGGUGAGUGCUAACGGAGCAGUGGCACUAACAGGAGGCGCGGCCGCGGACUCCGCCCUGGCACCGCCAUGCCACCACAAUGCCACCACAAUGCCACUCGCCACCGCCGCGUAACACUACCAUCGGAACAUCGAUCACCGUAGCUAUAUCGUUGGGCCUUUCACGUUAACAUAUACUAUGUAUUUUAAUAGUCUAACUAUUAACAUUUAUAUGCCUGUUAUGUUUAUAACAUAAUGAACUAUUAACAUAUUUGUGGCGAAAUGGCACACGCCAUCGACUUAUAUACUUUUAUUGUAUCACUUGAACGUUUUUGGUUGUUACAAUUUUAGGUUACCCGUGUCCUUUGACGGCGCUAAAUUUAGUUAAGUAUUUAUCAUAAGUUUAUAAGAGAUCUUUAUUAUUAAUACAUAUUUUUUUAUAAAAUUUCGAAUAAUUGUUUUGAUAAUAUAAUUUAGCGUCGUCUUUUAAGUUUAUUUAAAUGUGUUGCCAUUACUAGAUUUUGGCGAACGCUCUAAUAAUGUUACUGUGUAGAUGAAAUAUAGAUGUUUGAUUUUUAAGCACAAGGAAAACUAACAUCUAUAUUUUCAUGAAUUAAAAAAUAAAAUCAUUUUACAAUUUUAGCGAGAGGUUAAAAAAUUAUUUUAGGUUUCAAUUAUGAUAUUAUGUCGUAGCUUUUUCUCUUAAAAUGUCUUAUUCUUUUUAUCUCUGCAUAUAUUUAACAAAGUAAAUUUUAGUUAAAGUUUAUAUAAAUAAAAACAAGUACAAAUUGACUAUAUGAUAUCACAUUUUUAUGGUAAAUGUUGCCAUUAAAUCUAACAAAUAAUUGAAAUUAUAAGAAGAUAAAUGGCAACACUGAUUUCAACAGCCAAUAGCGAAGAAUCAAAAUGUAAGUAUGAAUGAAAAAUAUGCUUUGCUUUUCUAUUCAAACAAAUUAGUUUAAGAUACACUCAUCGACUUAUCAACUUUCAAUCAUAUAUUUCGGCAAUAUUUUUUCUAACCUCAAAGCCAAAGAGUAAUUUAGGUUUUUUUUGAAAAAUUAUAUCCAAAAUUAUCAAAAUAUGUCUUCCUUUUGACGAAACAAUUAAGUUGGUAAGAUGAUGAAUUCUUUUACAAGUGCAUUAUAAUGAUUGCAUUAUAUUUUAUUUUCUAGUGCUUAAUAUUUAUAAAUAACAAUGAUAUUUCGUGCAUACUAAGUGCCUUAUGUACAAUGUUUUCACCUAAGCGGUUCUAUAUACAAAUUGUUAUAUGCUAUUUAAGUAAUUUUAGAAGAGAUUAAAUUAUUGUUAACUUUUCUAAAUGUUAAUGUUUAUAAUAUAAAUCAUUUUGAAUUAAGUUGAAAUAACAUCAGAUAUUUAAUCUCGAUAUUUUUAUAGUUUUUAUUUAGAUAUGUAUUAACUAGGAUUGUAGCAAUCUCUCUAGGGAAUCUCUGAUAGCGUAUUUUGCAAUAAACAGCAAAAUAACCUAUAAAGUCUAAUACGAAUACUAUGCGUGCAAAAUAACAUACGACUUCCCAAAAAUUAGACGUCACGUCUACCAGUUUGCACAGGCAACCACGCCAUAUACGCCAUUCUCAGUAUAUAUUUAAAAGAUAAACUUUCCAACAUGGCUGAUGUACAAGUCCCAUGUUAAUCUGCAC
Molecule: long non-coding RNA, 4004 nt
Organism: Papilio polytes (common Mormon)
Lineage: Eukaryota; Metazoa; Arthropoda; Insecta; Lepidoptera; Papilionidae
Exons: 3
Source: RefSeq, a predicted model, not a curated record